UCCGUAGGUGAACCUGCGGAGGGAUCAUUACCGAGUUUACAACUCCCAAACCCAAUGUGAACGUUACCAAACUGUUGCCUCGGCGGGGUCACGCCCCGGGUGCGUAAAAGCCCCGGAACCAGGCGCCCGCCGGAGGAACCAACCAAACUCUUUCUGUAGUCCCCUCGCGGACGUAUUUCUUACAGCUCUGAGCAAAAAUUCAAAAUGAAUCAAAACUUUCAACAACGGAUCUCUUGGUUCUGGCAUCGAUGAAGAACGCAGCGAAAUGCGAUAAGUAAUGUGAAUUGCAGAAUUCAGUGAAUCAUCGAAUCUUUGAACGCACAUUGCGCCCGCCAGUAUUCUGGCGGGCAUGCCUGUCCGAGCGUCAUUUCAACCCUCGAACCCCUCCGGGGGAUCGGCGUUGGGGAUCGGGACCCCUCACCGGGUGCCGGCCCUGAAAUACAGUGGCGGUCUCGCCGCAGCCUCUCCUGCGCAGUAGUUUGCACAACUCGCACCGGGAGCGCGGCGCGUCCACGUCCGUAAAACACCCAACUUCUGAAAUGUGACCUCGGAUCAGGUAGAUCCCCUUG
This 569-nucleotide ribosomal RNA is filed under the name Trichoderma hamatum. RNAcentral describes it as "eukaryotic LSU rRNA". The stretch from base 214 to 367 matches the Rfam family "5.8S ribosomal RNA". The record is from RNAcentral. Lineage: Eukaryota; Fungi; Ascomycota; Sordariomycetes; Hypocreales; Hypocreaceae.